UUCCUAUUGGCGGAAUAUAUUGCGAAGUCAAAUCGAGCGUGCCUAUUGGUUCGGAAUAUUGGAAAGUCGUAGUUUCAACCGUUCCGAGAGGUGACAUACUGCUGAAAGUCGUGGAGCAAAAAUUCGUCUCGUCGAGCGUUAUCCUGUUGUUAGUACCUUCAUUUCGACUUUAUCAACGAUUCUACACGUCUAUCUGGUUCAUUCAAAUAGUACAUUAUUGGCUAGUCACAUGACUGAAAGAAUAGGGGUUCGCAUCACGGACACCACAAGCGAUUAACAAUCGAUAAUUUGAACUGAUACAAGAUGGACGUCAUAGAUGAUUAUUAGUAAAUCGCGUCGUUGAUUUCUCAUGCAGAUUUGGUAAUGAUUGAGGUAUUAUAACAAAGCAAACUUUUUCAUAAUUUCUACCUUUUCCUGUGCUUCGGGAAGGACGCAGUGAUGCUUCAAAAUUAGAUUUGAAUUAGCAUGUUUAUCACUCUUUCCUCUUCCUCCUGCUUCCUGAAAAAAGACCUAUUGGGGCUUCAAAAGCCAAGAAUUUUUUUCUAUAAUGGGAUUGCAUGGCUCCUCCUUGAUGACGGUCUUCACGACGACUUUCCCUGGGUUAUCACAGCAUCGAUGAUUACGUCCCUCGCAUCUUAUCGUGAGUCGCAUGCAUU
This is a long non-coding RNA of Bombus impatiens (common eastern bumble bee), 656 nucleotides long. RefSeq lists it as uncharacterized. The transcript is spliced from 5 exons. NCBI's taxonomy places the organism in Eukaryota, Metazoa, Arthropoda, Insecta, Hymenoptera, Apidae. The record is from RefSeq and is a predicted model, not a curated record.